Long non-coding RNA from Mytilus californianus (California mussel), 1731 nucleotides. RefSeq lists it as uncharacterized. Lineage: Eukaryota; Metazoa; Mollusca; Bivalvia; Mytilida; Mytilidae. The transcript is spliced from 5 exons. The record is from RefSeq and is a predicted model, not a curated record.
UGAAUUGAGAUUAUGCAUUUAUUCUUAUGUAGAAUUAUAUGAUGUUAAAUUUGCAUGGUAAUUUGUUUCUUUAGAGGAAAGACAAAACCUGACAAAAGAGCUCGACAAAUAUUUAAAGGACCCAGCCAAAGUAAUAGGUAAGAUUUCAGUGCUGAUCACAGGGCUCAACCAUAGUUUUUUUUUAUCAACUGAAUAGUCCAUUCAAAAUACUUGUCCAGAGAAAAGUAACAUUUUCCCCCUUAAUGUAUCAUAUUAAUAUAAUCUAGGUCUAGGUUGUUAAUGAUUUUUUAUUCUAAAAAGAGUUACAUAUCCCUUUUGCCCCAAAAUUCUUAAUUUCUGGUUUUCCAGAUUAUAAAUUGAGAACAAAAGACUAGAUUGAAGAUCGAUGCUAUGUGUGGUGUGUAAUAACAUCAUAUGAAUCAAUGAAUGUCUAGGUCAAGUUUAAUAAUUUCAAUUUUUUCUUUAACUAUUUUCAAAAGAGUAAUGCACCUUUUUAUACUUAUAAAUUUCUUAAUUUUUGAUUUCCAGAUAGUCACCAUAAAACGAAUAACUAGAUGUAAGCUGUAGGUGUGCUUGUUAGGUUAUUUGUUAUUAAUAUCAAGGUCAAGUUCAAUAAUGAAAAUAUUUCGACAUUUUUGUCACAUACAUUGUAGCUCUUCAACAGUUUCAGUACUUAUACAUCUUCAGAUUUCAAAUGUUUGCCUUUGAGCGUUCCUGAUAAAGGUAAAUCCAGAAAAGUGCUUGGGACACAUGGAAUUAUUAAACUUGUUGUUUUCAAUUUUCUUUCAGACCAGCUGAAUUUGGAAUUCCUUAAUAAUGAGACUGAGGAGGAGAGCCAGAGUAUUCUUACCCCUCCAGUCACUGACAAUAAACUAGAUGAACCACAGGAACAAUCGACUAGACACAGAGUUAGAAGGGUAAUACCACCAAUAGAAUCGGAUUCCGAAAAAAGUGAAGAACAUGAACAUGAAGAAGUGUAUGAUGAUUCCGACAAAGAUGAGGAUUUCUUGCCCCCUAAAAAUAAAAAAACAGAGACAUGAGGAAUCCACCACUGAUGAGAAUGCUUCAGGUAAAGCCAAAGUUAAAAAAAGCAAAAAGAAAAAACAAAAACAAAAACAAACAGAUGAAACAGAUGAGGUAAAAAAAGCCAGAAAAGACUUUUGUCUUUUAAAAAGACAAAAGGAAAAGUUAUCAAAUGAAACAUCGUCAAUGAUGUCAAGGAACCUCCUGUCAGAGGAUAACAGUAUGAUAGAUGAGGCAAGUACAUUUAUAGGUUGCACUUUGUAAAUACAGCUGUUUCUCAAAACACGCUUCUUUUGGGGAGAUCUUGUGAAUAUUCAUAGAAAAUUAAUUUUGUUUACAUACUGGUUCCCAGUUAUGCUCUCUGUGUUCCAUCUCACAGAGACAUAACUUGGGAAUGUUACCAGUAAAUAUACACGUGCAUAUUGUUUACAUUGAAAUCUGUGGUAACCUGUAAUUUGAUUUAUAGGAGUUAUUGCCCUUUAACUUGAAUGAAAUUGUAUGUGAUUAUGCAGUGCUCCACAUUUUGAAGAAGUGACAACAUUAGAUUUUAUUUACAAAGAACCAAAUCUAUAACCUUUGAUAGUUUGCCUUAUUGAACACUGAUCUUUUGGUAGUUGGCACUACUUUUUCUGUGUUAUUGCAGUGUUUACUUUGACCCUCUGAGAAGCAUUGAUGAAAUCAAUCACAUAAGAAUGCUAGAGAUAAAAU